Non-coding RNA from Camellia sinensis, 1052 nucleotides. NCBI's taxonomy places the organism in Eukaryota, Viridiplantae, Streptophyta, Magnoliopsida, Ericales, Theaceae. The record is from RefSeq and is a predicted model, not a curated record.
AUUGGCCUCAGAAGCAUAGAAAUGCAGCAAUUGAAAAGCUAUUGACCUGGCAGUGAAUGGAAGAUAAUGGCAGGAGUGGUAGUCAUUCAAUCACUUGGUAGCAAAAUUGGUGCAAAAACAUUAAUCACCCUCAUAACUUGUACUGUGUUUGGUCUCUCACUCACUGCUGUAUUAUCUGGUUUCGUUCCACCAUUUACUGAAGAGCCAGAACUAUAAAUGUUGUGCAUGUUGUGGAUACAAGAGGAACAUAUGGUGAAAAACAAGAGCCUAGUUCUUAUUUUUCUCUGUUUUCAAUGACUCUUGGAAAGUUGACAUAGGAAGUUGAACAGAUUGGAGAAGGAUUUGUUUGCGGUAGAGAUAAGGUCCUUGACUUCGUUACCUUUCAGUAAAAUAUGGUUGCUUGACCAAUGAUAAUGUGCGAAGUGGGUGGAGCCAAUUAGAAAUUCCCACGCUGCAUGUCAAGAGCGAUAUAAGGAGGACGACAGAAUUACACAAAUUUUCAUCGAUACAAAAAGUUCCACACGCUGGACUCUUGCAAUCAAUACUUAGGAAAUAGAAGACUUCAAGUUUAAAGGUAUUGUAUAUACUAGUAAAAUUCUUUCUUUGUUCUUUGCCCACUGUUAAUUUUUAGAUUUUUUGUGUUAAUGACUGAAAUACCACCUGUUCUUUCCAAAACAUGCUUGGAGCCUCCUCAAUUCUCUGGAGUAAACAUUGCUAAUAGUUUUUUUGUGCAAAUACUUGGAAAAACCCUAAGUUUAACACAACUUAGACAGGAUUGUAGUUUUGGAUAAAUUGUGUUUAUUUUGACAUGACGAAUAGACUUAGUUCUUGAAUUUUCUGUAGCAUGCUCAAGUAACCAUUAAGUGACGCUCAAGUCUCCUCAAUUCAUGGUCCACUUGUCCAUUGAUUUUUAGUGGAUCAAAUGUGCCAAAUUUAUUCAAUCGACUCUUUUGAAUUCUUUAAUUAUUAGAUUUCAAUAUAUUUGGGAAAAAUACUAUUCAUAUCCCUGUUUUUAAGUGAUAUAUUUGCAUAAUGAGAAUUCAUGGAGUAGG